UACAGAGGUCCCAAGCGUUGUUCGGAUUCACCGGGCGUAAAGGGUGCGUAGGUGGCCAGGUGAGUUUGGUGUGAAAGCUCGGAGCUUAACUCCGAAAAGUCAUUGAAUACUAUCUGGCUGGAGGGUCGGAGGGGAGACUGGAAUUCUCGGUGUAGCAGUGAAAUGCGUAGAUAUCGAGAGGAACACCAGUGGCGAAGGCGAGUCUCUGGACGACUCCUGACACUGAGGCACGAAAGCUAGGGGAGCAAACAGG
Molecule: ribosomal RNA, 253 nt
Filed under: uncultured bacterium
Lineage: Bacteria
Description: partial 16S ribosomal RNA
Rfam family: Bacterial small subunit ribosomal RNA
Source: RNAcentral